This 446-nucleotide ribosomal RNA is filed under the name uncultured bacterium. RNAcentral's name for it is "partial 16S ribosomal RNA". It matches the Rfam family "Bacterial small subunit ribosomal RNA", at positions 338 to 795 of the family's 1533-position model. The record is from RNAcentral.
CCUACGGGCGGCAGCAGUCGAGAAUCAUUCACAAUGGGGGAAACCCUGAUGGUGCGACGCCGCGUGGGGGAAUGAAGGUCUUCGGAUUGUAAACCCCUGUCAUGUGGGAGCAAAUUAAAAAGAUAGUACCACAAGAGGAAGAGACGGCUAACUCUGUGCCAGCAGCCGCGGUAAUACAGAGGUCUCAAGCGUUGUUGGGAAUCACUGGGCGUAACGCGUGCGUAGGCUGUUUCGUAGGUCGUGUGUGAAAGGCGCGGGCUCAACCCGCGGACGGCACAUGAUACUGCGAGACUAGAGUAAUGGAGGGGGAACCGGAAUUCUCGGUGUAGCAGUGAAAUGCGUAGAUAUCGAGAGGAACACUCGUGGCGAAGGCGGGUUCCUGGACAUUAACUGACGCUGAGGCACGAAGGCCAGGGGAGCGAAAGGGAUUAGAUACCCGAGUAGUC